GAAUGCUGACAUAAGUAACGAUAAAGCGGGUGAAAAGCCCGCUCGCCGGAAGACCAAGGGUUCCUGUCCAACGUUAAUCGGGGCAGGGUGAGUCGACCCCUAAGGCGAGGCCGAAAGGCGUAGUCGAUGGGAAACGGGUUAAUAUUCCCGUACUUGGUGUUACUGCGAAGGGGGGACGGAGAAGGCUAUGUUGGCCGGGCGACGGUUGUCCCGGUUUAAGCGUGUAGGUGUGUGUUCCAGGUAAAUCCGGUUCACUUUAACACUGAGGCGUGAUGACGAGGCACUACGGUGCUGAAGCAACAAAUGCCCUGCUUCCAGGAAAAGCCUCUAAGCAUCAGGUAACAUCAAAUCGUACCCCAAACCGACACAGGUGGUCAGGUAGAGAAUACCAAGGCGCUUGAGAGAACUCGGGUGAAGGAACUAGGCAAAAUGGUGCCGUAACUUCGGGAGAAGGCACGCUGACAUGUAGGUGAAGUGAUUUACUCAUGGAGCUGAAGUCAGUCGAAGAUACCAGCU
RNAcentral lists this ribosomal RNA (516 nucleotides) under Salmonella enterica subsp. enterica serovar Derby. Its description in RNAcentral is "partial 23S ribosomal RNA". It matches the Rfam family "Bacterial large subunit ribosomal RNA", at positions 1292 to 1791 of the family's 2925-position model. The record is from RNAcentral. Lineage: Bacteria; Pseudomonadati; Pseudomonadota; Gammaproteobacteria; Enterobacterales; Enterobacteriaceae.